AAUCGAUAACUGCAACAGUGAUGUAAUGUGUGUGUCUAUUUUAGAGAGCAGAUGGUUGAUCUGGUGCUAAUUUGCCCAAUAUGGUAGCUACGUAGCAAUAAAAUUCCAAGACUGGCACAAGAAGGGCCUGGUUCCAGGGAUCACUGGAUCUAAAAGAAAAAAUCCAAUCAAUGAUGCAUCCCACUGGCAUUCCAAAGAGCAAGUAAACAAAAGAAAUUAUGGGUUUGGGCUCAGAAACCCCAACCCUCGGGAUUUCAGAAAACAAAACGACUCAUUGGCAAGAGGCACUGUAAUGACUCAGGUUCAAAUCCUACCUCUGUUAUUUACCAAUUGCAUAACUUUCAGCUUCAGUGUGACCUGACCCUGAGCUUUCCAAUCCAAAAAUAGAAGUAAUGUCUAUGUC
RNAcentral lists this long non-coding RNA (403 nucleotides) under Pongo abelii (Sumatran orangutan). Its description in RNAcentral is "lincRNA". The record is from RNAcentral. Lineage: Eukaryota; Metazoa; Chordata; Mammalia; Primates; Hominidae.